ACGAUCAUCCAUCUCAUACCCACUCGGUCAUCAAGAAGAAACGCACUUGAAUUCUAUUUCGACAUAAAACUCCGUUAACUUCUGUUAUUCAAAAUGAGCUCAAAAGUGAUCCUGGUUUUUGCUCUCUUUGUCCUGGCUGCGUCGUUCUUCCCAGAGAGUGAAGGAUUCACGGCUGGAGGUGGAGGAAACAUUCCUUUUUCACAAGGAAAACGAGCGCUCGGACACCAACUGGCUGGAAGGGCUUUUUGUCGGGCGGCUAGGGAGCACUGCAAGAGGGAGCUCACAUACAAUGACAAUGAAUGAACCAUGCCUCAAAUGUCAUUUAGUACCCUGUCAAAUAUGGACUUGGGCUUGUUGUUCUUUGUUUUAAAAUCAUCAGUCAAAAUAGAAAGAGCUAUAAAUUAAUUGAUCAAAUUGAUAUGAAGCUAUUGUAAACAGAGUCUGAGAAAGCAAAAAUAAACUAUUUUGAGUGCA
Molecule: long non-coding RNA, 474 nt
Organism: Stylophora pistillata
Lineage: Eukaryota; Metazoa; Cnidaria; Anthozoa; Scleractinia; Pocilloporidae
Source: RefSeq, a predicted model, not a curated record